Non-coding RNA from Meleagris gallopavo (turkey), 2048 nucleotides. The record is from RefSeq and is a predicted model, not a curated record. NCBI's taxonomy places the organism in Eukaryota, Metazoa, Chordata, Aves, Galliformes, Phasianidae.
AAGACCUUGCACCAGGCACCUCGUUCUCAGUUGGUUCCUUGCACUGUGAGCUCUAAAAGAAGCGCUGUCCUGGCCUUGGGUUUGCAUGCUUUUAGGCAAAGGCGCUUCAAGAAGAUACCCAAGAACUCUUUGUGGAAGGAGAAAUGGGACAGAGCUUUUUAGCAAUUGCUUGGUGAUCUCUGCAGCACAUGGGCACCCUGCCUCAGUCCUACCUGCACCCGCCUGCAGGAGUUGGUCUGCGUGUUUAUGGAAAGCGCUGAGUCUUCAAAGGGCUUUUCAGAAGGUGGGAUGUGGCAAUGGACGUACCAACACAGGUCCCUCAGUGGCUGUGGAUCACUGCACCGACCACCAUGUAAACGAGAGACCAUGACAGGAGGAACAGAUCCUUGGGGCUGAACCACCAGCAGACCAACAGCACAGAAACCAGAUAAAAGCAGGCAGAUUUGAGAUUCUGCCUUCGCUCUGUUCCAUGAAAUCCUUGCAUCCUUCAGACUUGCCUUGCAGCUAACGAGUGCUCCGGACCAGACGAUGAGGUAAGGGGUCCCUUGGGCAGGAAGGCAAGCUAUCUGCAGGCAGCUGUUGGGCUGCAGGGCGAAGCCAUUUUAAUUACCUGGCAGCAGAGCACCAGCUGAAGAAUGGUCAAUGUGUAAAGCAAGCGGGGCUGGGAUGUCUGCAGAAGGCUGCCUGCUGAUCUUGGGCUAGAUUAAAUUCUUCUGUGAGGGCUGACCACAGCUUUAUGGCAGCAGGGUUGGGUUGGGGCAAUGCCUGUGCCCCCAAAGCAAGGCAAUUGCACCCUAAGCAAGACCUGCGACUUCGGCAGGAGCUGAAGCUGCUGCUUUUCCAUCCUUAGAAUUGCGGAGGGCAGACCCCACCUCCUCCAAGUCCUAGAUUUCCAAGACCCCCUGGGUUGUGUCAUCCCCAAAAGGGGCACUGCUGGGCCACGUGCUGUGCUUAGAGUUCAGCACAGCGCCUGGCCCCCUACAACCCAGGUCCUGCUGUACCCCCAGCAGGUUGCUCACACCUCUAUCUGUCUCCAUGCUGCCCUGGGCUCCGUGCCUCCUUCCCCGCUCUCUCCCACGGGAUCCAGGAGCUGCAGCAUUCUCCCAUUCUCCUUCUCCUCCAUGCAAGGAGCCGCACCCUGAGCCCAUCGAGCUCUGACUUGCUGGAACAGCUUGGGCUGGUUCUGGGCAGGACAUGCUGCGACCUGCUUCUUCCUCCUGGCCCUUGGAGCACUGACACGUAGGCUGCUGGGCACGCUGGAUGCAGCUGUGCACUGCGGGAUCCAACCCUCAGACUUUGGUGUGGAAAAGGUGCAGGUCUGUGAGUCACCUGGAUUCAGCAGGUUUCUGCUCCCUUCCCUUGCUCUGGGGGUGGACGGGGUCUCCGGGCUCCAUUCCUGCCCCUCCUGCUCCAAUAACCCCAGGGUUAUUGUGGGAGCUCACAUCAGACCCCAGGGCAGAUGCAUGUGGCUGCAGCCAUUGGAUCCCCCAUAGCCAAGUGAGGGGGACAUCCUGGUGCCAUCUGGUGUCCUUUGGUCCCAGAGCUGCGGUAAGGACGUUAGGGGAAGUGCAUGCUGCACCACUGCAUUUCAGGGCUCAGUACAAAUAUGUCUGGCUUGCACAGCUACAAAUCCCCCCCUUAAAUGCCAUGUUUUUUCUCCAAUCCAGCACAAGCAUCCUAGCUGGGCUAACACAUGGGCAGCUGCCCCCACCGCUUCCCCCAGAGGAGCUCAGGCAAGCACAACACAAUGCAUAAUUAGGUUAAUGAGCUAAGCACGGAUUUUAAUUGGGAUUCCCUGAUUUACUGGUCUGUCUCCUCCUUUUGUUUUAUUGCCGGUGAAGGUUCCUAAAAGCUGCCCUUGCUAAUGGCUUUGAUAUCAGAAAGGUCUUAUGGAUCUUUAAUUGUAUUUAAUCAUCAAGGUAAUUAAUGAUCCUUGAGCAAAAUGGAGAUUGCAUCUAGAGGAGUUCCAAUCUUGCCCUUCAGCUUCUGUUGUGUCUGGGCAAGGCAUCCUGCAGACAUGUAGGAAGUGGGGGGGAGGAACAGGGAAA